RNAcentral lists this ribosomal RNA (829 nucleotides) under Gnomonia ribicola. Its description in RNAcentral is "LSU rRNA". It matches the Rfam family "Eukaryotic large subunit ribosomal RNA", at positions 77 to 938 of the family's 3401-position model. The record is from RNAcentral. Lineage: Eukaryota; Fungi; Ascomycota; Sordariomycetes; Diaporthales; Gnomoniaceae.
GCCCUAGUAACGGCGAGUGAAGCGGCAACAGCUCAAAUUUGAAAUCUGGCCUCGGCCCGAGUUGUAAUUUGCAGAGGAUGCUUCUGGCGCGGUGCCUUCCGAGUUCCCUGGAACGGGACGCCACAGAGGGUGAGAGCCCCGUAUGGUCGGACACCAAGCCUGUGUGAAGCUCCUUCGACGAGUCGAGUAGUUUGGGAAUGCUGCUCUAAAUGGGAGGUAAAUCUCUUCUAAAGCUAAAUACCGGCCAGAGACCGAUAGCGCACAAGUAGAGUGAUCGAAAGAUGAAAAGCACCUUGAAAAGGGGGUUAAAUAGUACGUGAAAUUGUUGAAAGGGAAGCACUUGUGACCAGACUUGGGCCGGGCGGCUCAUCAGGGGUUCUCCCCUGUGCACUCCGCCCGGCACAGGCCAGCAUCGGUUCUCGUGGGGGGAUAAGACCGUCAGGAACGUAGCACCCUCCGGGGUGUGUUAUAGCCUGGCGGACGAUACCCCCGUGGGGACCGAGGUUCGCGCUCCGCAAGGAUGCUGGCGUAAUGGUCACCAGUGACCCGUCUUGAAACACGGACCAAGGAGUCGUCCAUUAGAGCGAGCGUUUGGGUGUAAAACCCGCACGCGUAAUGAAAGUGAACGCAGGUGAGAGCUUCGGCGCAUCAUCGACCGAUCCUGAUGUUCUCGGAAGGAUUUGAGUAAGAGUUUUAACGGACGGACCCGAAAGACAGUGAACUAUGCUUGUAUAGGGUGAAGCCAGAGGAAACUCUGGUGGAGGCUCGCAGCGGUUCUGACGUGCAAAUCGAUCGUCAAAUAUGAGCAUGGGGGCGAAAGACUAAUCGA